UCCAGACUCCUACGGGAGGCAGCAGUGGGGGAUAUUGCACAAUGGGGGGAACCCUGAUGCAGCGACGCCGCGUGGGUGAAGGAGCGUUUCGGCGCGUAAAGCCCUAUCGGCAGGGAAGAAGGAGGACGGUACCUGACUAAGAAGCCCCGGCUAACUACGUGCCAGCAGCCGCGGUAAUACGUAGGGGGCAAGCGUUAUCCGGAUUUACUGGGUGUAAAGGGGGCGCAGACGGCAGCGCAAGCCAGGAGUGAAAGCCCGGGGCCCAACCCCGGGACUGCUCUUGGAACUGCGCGGCUGGAGUGCAGGAGGGGCAGGCGGAAUUCCUGGUGUAGCGGUGAAAUGCGUAGAUAUCAGGAGGAACACCGGUGGUGAAGGCGGCCUGCUGGACUGCGACUGACGUUGAGGCCCGAAAGCGUGGGGAGCAAACAGGAUUAGAUACCCGCGUAC
Molecule: ribosomal RNA, 447 nt
Filed under: uncultured bacterium
Lineage: Bacteria
Description: partial 16S ribosomal RNA
Rfam family: Bacterial small subunit ribosomal RNA
Source: RNAcentral